GCCCAUGGCCAUGCCAUCCUGAAUACGCCCGAUCCCAUCUGAUCUCAGAAGCUAAGCAGGGGUCGGGCCUGGUUAGUACUUGGAUGGGAGACCACCUAGGAAGACCGGGUGCUGUAGGUG
Molecule: ribosomal RNA, 120 nt
Filed under: Pteropus alecto (black flying fox)
Lineage: Eukaryota; Metazoa; Chordata; Mammalia; Chiroptera; Pteropodidae
Source: RNAcentral